UACUAGUCUGAGUACAGUGCUGUUUACAACUAAUUGAUCACAACCAGUUACAGGUUUCCUUGUUCCUUCUCCAUUCCAAUUGCUUUAUUUGACUAGUCUUUA
RNAcentral lists this Y RNA (102 nucleotides) under Carlito syrichta (Philippine tarsier). RNAcentral describes it as "Y RNA (ENSTSYG00000028140.1)". It matches the Rfam family "Y RNA". Rfam says of the family: Y RNAs are components of the Ro ribonucleoprotein particle (Ro RNP), in association with Ro60 and La proteins. The Y RNAs and Ro60 and La proteins are well conserved, but the function of the Ro RNP is not known. The record is from Rfam by way of RNAcentral. Lineage: Eukaryota; Metazoa; Chordata; Mammalia; Primates; Tarsiidae.